UACGUAGGUGGCAAGCGUUAUCCGGAAUUACUGGGCGUAAAGCGCACGCAGGCGGUCUUGUAAGUUUGGCGUGAAAGCUCUCGGCUUAACUGGGAGAGGUCGCUGAAGACUGCAAGACUUGAGGCAAUGAGAGGGGUGUAGAAUUCCUGGUGUAGUGGUGGAAUGCGUAGAUAUCAGGAGGAAUACCAGUGGCGAAGGCGGGUCUCUGGGCCGUAACUGACGCUGAGGAGCGAAAGCGUGGGGAGCGAACAGG
Molecule: ribosomal RNA, 253 nt
Filed under: uncultured bacterium
Lineage: Bacteria
Description: partial 16S ribosomal RNA
Rfam family: Bacterial small subunit ribosomal RNA
Source: RNAcentral